UACGAAGGGGGCUAGCGUUGUUCGGAAUUACUGGGCGUAAAGCGCGUGUAGGCGGGUCUUUAAGUCAGGGGUGAAAUGCCAGGGCUCAACCUUGGAACUGCCUUUGAUACUGGAGACCUUGAGUCCGGGAGAGGUGAGUGGAAUUGCGAGUGUAGAGGUGAAAUUCGUAGAUAUUCGCAAGAACACCAGUGGCGAAGGCGGCUCACUGGCCCGGAACUGCCGCUGAGACGCGAAAGCGUGGGGAGCAAACAGG
RNAcentral lists this ribosomal RNA (253 nucleotides) under uncultured bacterium. Its description in RNAcentral is "partial 16S ribosomal RNA". It matches the Rfam family "Bacterial small subunit ribosomal RNA", at positions 524 to 776 of the family's 1533-position model. The record is from RNAcentral.